Molecule: small nucleolar RNA, 125 nt
Organism: Colobus angolensis palliatus
Lineage: Eukaryota; Metazoa; Chordata; Mammalia; Primates; Cercopithecidae
Source: Ensembl
GCUGAUUUUGAAUAUUAAAAAAAAAAAAAUCACGAGAUACCAUGCAAAAGCAAUCUUCCCUUCAGAAUGACUGAUGGUAUGCUCAGGUUUUUCAUAGCAUAUCAUCAUUAAAGGUGAAUAAAAUA